GCGACCGGCUCUACUUGGCAGGUUUUGAGGACAUCGAUGUGGAGACUUCGAUCCAGCAACCCAGAAACCCAAUGCUGAGUGUCAUGCUGGCAUUAGAUCAGAUGAGAAAGACUGAGAAGCGACUGUUGAUGAACUGCUUUCUGACCCACAUCGCCUGGUCCUGAGAAUCCGAGAAUUCGAGAAGGCGCACGCACCAAUGGAAAGAAAUGGAGAGAGGCAGAGCGAUCAUCUCUUGGCAUCGUCACAACCUGGAACGAAUCAACGGAACAACGGGCAAGGGACAUAGUUUCACAGAAACCGAGCGGCGGAUUGUUGCGACCGGCUCCACUUGGCAGGUUUUGAGGACAUCGAUGUGAAGACUUCGAUCAAGCAACCCAGCAACCCAUUGCUGAGUACGUGUCAUGCUGGCAUUAGAUCAGAAAGAAAUGGAGAGAGGCAGAGCGAUCAUCCCCUAGCAUCAUCGCAACCUGGAACGAAUCAACGGAACAACGGGCAAUGGACAUAGUUUCACAGCAACUGAGCGGCGGACAAGUGACAAGCAUCGAGGGAUCAACAUAAUUAUAUUGUUUGUGUUUUUGUGUGUGUUUUUUUUCAGGUUCCCACAAUAUGGAUCACCACGUUGCCGUCGUGUCGUACUUCUGUGAUUCUAAGGGCGAAGUCAGCAAUGUUAUAACUUUGCUGAACCAGCCAAUGCUUCAAAUAAUUGAUGCGUUGUCGUUGAUAUUGUUAGGUUUUGUGUAUUGUUUACAAGUUGUCUGCUCAGACAUAAAUACGUUGUGCUCGCUGGGGAUAGGAAAGUAGUGGUA
Molecule: long non-coding RNA, 806 nt
Organism: Priapulus caudatus
Lineage: Eukaryota; Metazoa; Priapulida; Priapulimorpha; Priapulimorphida; Priapulidae
Exons: 4
Source: RefSeq, a predicted model, not a curated record